Molecule: ribosomal RNA, 550 nt
Filed under: uncultured bacterium
Lineage: Bacteria
Description: bacterial SSU rRNA
Rfam family: Bacterial small subunit ribosomal RNA
Source: RNAcentral
UAGGGAAUCUUCGGCAAUGGGGGCAACCCUGACCGAGCAACGCCGCGUGAGUGAAGAAGGUUUUCGGAUCGUAAAGCUCUGUUGUAAGUCAAGAACGAGUGUGAGAGUGGAAAGUUCACACUGUGACGGUAGCUUACCAGAAAGGGACGGCUAACUACGUGCCAACAGCCGCGGUAAUACGUAGGUCCCGAGCGUUGUCCGGAUUUAUUGGGCGUAAAGCGAGCGCAGGCGGUUUGAUAAGUCUGAAGUUAAAGGCUGUGGCUCAACCAUAGUUCGCUUUGGAAACUGUCAAACUUGAGUGCAGAAGGGGAGAGUGGAAUUCCAUGUGUAGCGGUGAAAUGCGUAGAUAUAUGGAGGAACACCGGUGGCGAAAGCGGCUCUCUGGUCUGUAACUGACGCUGAGGCUCGAAAGCGUGGGGAGCGAACAGGAUUAGAUACCCUGGUAGUCCACGCCGUAAACGAUGAGUGCUAGGUGUUGGAUCCUUUCCGGGAUUCAGUGCCGCAGCUAACGCAUUAAGCACUCCGCCUGGGGAGUACGACCGCAAGGUUG